AAAAGGGUAAACCCGUCUCUGUGGCAAAAGAGUGGGAAGACCUUGCAGUAGAGGUGAAAAGCCAAACGAGCCUGGUGAUAGCUGGUUGCUCAAAAAACGAAUUUAAGUUCGACUUUAGGCCUAACUCAAUAGAUUAAAAUCCCCCGUCGGCCUAAAAGCUACUCAAUGAAGGUACAACUCCAUUGAGACAGGAUACAACCUAAGCCAGAGAGAAAGAAAACUCAUUAUAACCAGUAGGCCCUAAAGCAGCCAUCAGUAACAAAAGCGUCAUAGCACAAAAACAACAAAUACCACAAUAAACCUCAAACUCCUAGUAAAACAUUGAGCCAAACUAUUAUUAUAGACGAACUAAUGCUAAAACUAGUAACAAGAAAUAUUCUCUCAGCACACCUGUAACCCAGAAAUAGAAAAACUACUGGACAUUAACAGACCACAACAGGAACAGCAUUCCAUGCUACUCAACCAACUGUUAAACCAACACAGGCCUGCCAUAAAGACAGAUUAAAAGUUAUAAAAGGAACUCAGCAAACCUUGUCCCAACUGUUUACCAAAAACAUAGCCUUUAGCCACACAAGUAUUAAAGGUCCCGCCUGCCCAGUG
Molecule: ribosomal RNA, 600 nt
Filed under: Trachylepis acutilabris
Lineage: Eukaryota; Metazoa; Chordata; Lepidosauria; Squamata; Scincidae
Description: partial 16S ribosomal RNA
Rfam family: Bacterial large subunit ribosomal RNA
Source: RNAcentral